AAACCUCUUUACAAAUAGCAUACUUGGAUAGUGACACUUUUUCUUGUAUUUGGCGAGAAUGCCAGUGAUGGUUUGAAUUUUAACUCCUUGCUUUCUAAUAGCAGGGUCCUCACCUAGCUCUAGCAGCAGUAAUUCUGUCAACCCCAUAGCCUCACUUGGAGCCCUGCAGACAUUAGCUGGAGCAACGGCUGGCCUCAAUGUUGGCUCUUUGGCAGGAAUGGCUGCUUUAAAUGGUGGCCUGGGCAGCAGUGGCCUUUCCAAUGGCACCGGGAGCACCAUGGAGGCCCUCACUCAGGCCUACUCGGGUAUCCAGCAAUAUGCUGCUGCUGCGCUCCCCACUCUGUACAACCAGAAUCUUCUGACACAGCAGAGUAUUGGUGCUGCUGGAAGCCAGAAGGAAGGUCCAGAGGGAGCCAACCUGUUCAUCUACCACCUGCCCCAGGAGUUUGGUGAUCAGGACCUGCUGCAGAUGUUUAUGCCCUUUGGGAAUGUCGUGUCUGCCAAGGUUUUCAUAGACAAGCAGACAAACCUGAGCAAGUGUUUUGGUUUUGUAAGUUACGACAAUCCUGUUU
This 572-nucleotide small RNA is filed under the name Pan troglodytes (chimpanzee). Its description in RNAcentral is "processed transcript". Lineage: Eukaryota; Metazoa; Chordata; Mammalia; Primates; Hominidae. The record is from RNAcentral.